GAGAGAGAGAGAGAGAGUGAGAGGUGCUUCAGUAGCUGCAAAAGCCUUAUAAAAAAGGCAUCGAGAAGUAAAACAAAAUGGCAAGUUGGCUUUUCCUGAGCAGAUAGGGGUGUGCUUUCAGUGGCGGAAAUAGUCUCUGGGCUCUUUACUGGCACCAAGAGAAGCUUGGACUACGAUUAUAUUAUUAUAGAUAAGGUUAUCAGAUUCUCUCUCUACCUCAUCACAGACAGACAAAGAGCAGUAGGAAUUCAAUUUAAUUAUGUUAUUUUCAAUGCAGAUUCUAUAUGUAAUAAUACUACUAAUGAUGAUAGUUACAUUGUAAAUUUGAUGAUUCUUGUGAUUUAUAGUACAAUAUACAGCUUAGAACAAGAAUGAACUUAUUUCUCAAAGAC
RNAcentral lists this unclassified non-coding RNA (392 nucleotides) under Hevea brasiliensis (rubber tree). The record is from RNAcentral. Lineage: Eukaryota; Viridiplantae; Streptophyta; Magnoliopsida; Malpighiales; Euphorbiaceae.